Molecule: ribosomal RNA, 465 nt
Filed under: uncultured bacterium
Lineage: Bacteria
Description: partial 16S ribosomal RNA
Rfam family: Bacterial small subunit ribosomal RNA
Source: RNAcentral
GAUGAACGCUGGCGGCGUGCUUAACACAUGCAAGUCGAACGGAAAGGCUCCUGCUUGCAGGGGUACUCGAGUGGCGAACGGGUGAGUAACACGUGGGUGAUCUGCCCUGCACUUCGGGAUAAGCCUGGGAAACUGGGUCUAAUACCGGAUAGGACGAUGGUUUGGAUGCCAUUGUGGAAAGUUUUUCGGUGUGGGAUGAGCUCGCGGCCUAUCAGCUUGUUGGUGGGGUAAUGGCCUACCAAGGCGUCGACGGGUAGCCGGCCUGAGAGGGUGUACGGCCACAUUGGGACUGAGAUACGGCCCAGACUCCUACGGGAGGCAGCAGUGGGGAAUAUUGCACAAUGGGCGCAAGCCUGAUGCGGCGACGCCGCGUGGGGGAUGACGGCCUUCGGGUUGUAAACUCCUUUCGCUAGGGACGAAGCGCAAGUGACGGUACCUGGAGAAGAAGCACCGGCUAACUACGUG